GUGCCAGCAGCCGCGGUAAUACCGGCAGCCCGAGUGAUGGCCGAUCUUAUUGGGCCUAAAGCGUCCGUAGCUGGCUGCGCAAGUCCGUCGGGAAAUCCACUCGCCCAACGAGUGGGCGUCCGACGGAAACUGCACAGCUUGGGACCGGAAGGCUCGAAGGGUACGUCCGGGGUAGGAGUGAAAUCCCGUAAUCCCGGACGGACUACCGAUGGCGAAAGCACGUCGCGAAGACGGAUCCGACAGUGAGGGACGAAAGCUAGGGUCUCGAACCGGAUUAGAAACCCCGGUCC
Molecule: ribosomal RNA, 290 nt
Filed under: uncultured bacterium
Lineage: Bacteria
Description: partial 16S ribosomal RNA
Rfam family: Archaeal small subunit ribosomal RNA
Source: RNAcentral